This 65-nucleotide transfer RNA is filed under the name Dipodomys ordii (Ord's kangaroo rat). It matches the Rfam family "tRNA". From Rfam's summary of the family: Transfer RNA (tRNA) molecules are approximately 80 nucleotides in length. Their secondary structure includes four short double-helical elements and three loops (D, anti-codon, and T loops). The record is from Rfam by way of RNAcentral. Lineage: Eukaryota; Metazoa; Chordata; Mammalia; Rodentia; Heteromyidae.
GGUGGCUCAGUGGUAGAGCACUUGCCUUGUAUGCAUGUAGCCCUGGGUUCGAUUCCUCAGCACCA